This is a long non-coding RNA of Capsicum annuum, 639 nucleotides long. RefSeq lists it as uncharacterized. Lineage: Eukaryota; Viridiplantae; Streptophyta; Magnoliopsida; Solanales; Solanaceae. The record is from RefSeq and is a predicted model, not a curated record. The transcript has 2 exons.
CUAUAUUGGAACACCACAGAGUAAAGGGAAAUCUCAAAUUCUACCCAUAUGCUUAUUUUAACAAGGAAGCUCAACUUUGGAUGUAGAUUAUUGGUGCUUGUUUAGUUCCAGGAACCCAUAUCAUUUAUGUAAUGUAUGAAUGGGUGCCUACUUACUGAAGAAGAGUUGAGAUAGUUGGAUAUUGACUACCUAAUGAAUUACCAUGCAAAUUUCAUGUGCCAAGUUGGUCAAACCUUUAGAGAGCUGGUAGAUGUGAUAUUUAUACUGAUGAUGAACAUUUGCUAGUUGAUUCCGAUGUGGAGAUUUAUUCUGACUAGGAGGAUUAUGAGAUGAGAUAUCUUAGACCCAAUGUGUAUGAAGAAGAUGUCUAUGCCCAGAAAGUUCUUUUCCCUAUCUUCUACUUAUGAUUUGGGUUAUUCGCUAAGGACAUUCCCUCUUCUAAGUGUGAGGUGGGGAAAAUAUUCCUUAGAUUAUUUACUUUCUUUAUGCAUGUUGGUACAUACUUUGGUGUCUAUUUUUGGUUUUUUGAUGAAGUUGUUUCUAGUUAAAUUAUUGUGGUUUGUAAUAAGUAGUAAUUUGCACUUUGUGGACUUUUAUGAUUUAACAAUUGUAAUUGUUUUUGUAUUAGUUUUUUUUCUC